AUUGAACGCUGGCGGCAUGCUUUACACAUGCAAGUCGAACGGCAGCGCGGGCUUCGGCCUGGCGGCGAGUGACGAACGGGUGAGUAAUGCAUCGGAACGUGCCCAGUAGUGGGGGAUAGCCCGGCUAAAGCCGGAUUAAUACCGCAUACGACCUGAGGGUGAAAGCGGGGGACCGAAAGGCCUCGCGCUAUUGGAGCGGCCGAUGUCGGAUUAGCUAGUUGGUGGGGUAAAGGCUUACCAAGGCGACGAUCCGUAGCUGGUCUGAGAGGACGACCAGCCACACUGGGGCUGAGACACGGCCCAGACUCCUACGGGAGGCAGCAGUGGGGAAUUUUGGACAAUGGGGGCAACCCUGAUCCAGCCAUGCCGCGUGCGGGAAGAAGGCCUUCGGGUUGUAAACCGCUUUUGUUCGGGAAGAAAUCCUCUGGGCUAAUACCCCGGGGGGAUGACGGUACCGGAAGAAUAAGCACCGGCUAACUACGUG
Molecule: ribosomal RNA, 484 nt
Filed under: uncultured bacterium
Lineage: Bacteria
Description: partial 16S ribosomal RNA
Rfam family: Bacterial small subunit ribosomal RNA
Source: RNAcentral